AAAUUCUAAAUGACUCUCGGCAACGGAUAUCUCGGCUCUUGCAUCGAUGAAGAACGUAGCGAAAUGCGAUACUUGGUGUGAAUUGCAGAAUCCCGUGAACCAUCGAGUCUUUGAACGCAAGUUGCGCCCGAAGCCAUUAGGCUGAGGGCACGCCUGCCUGGGUGUCACACA
Molecule: ribosomal RNA, 171 nt
Filed under: Vatairea sp. Pennington 689
Lineage: Eukaryota; Viridiplantae; Streptophyta; Magnoliopsida; Fabales; Fabaceae
Description: 5.8S ribosomal RNA
Rfam family: 5.8S ribosomal RNA
About the family: 5.8S ribosomal RNA (5.8S rRNA) is a component of the large subunit of the eukaryotic ribosome. It is transcribed by RNA polymerase I as part of the 45S precursor that also contains 18S and 28S rRNA.
Source: RNAcentral